UUAGAUGGCAGUCUUUGUGCAGCACACAUUCUCUUUCUCUUUUUCUCUUUUCUUUUUUAUCAAUUUUAUUUUGGAUUGAGAGUAUAUUAUAUUAUAUAUCUUUUGACUUUUUGCAGUUAGGAGAGGACCUUUGCGGACACUUUGCCAGCUGUUGUCCUCAUAUUGCCUCUACCAUUGUGCGCUUUUUGGUCCUUUGAACUGUUCCAUUCACGCCCAGGUUUUCAUACUUUUCACAAGAUACCCCAACUAGUUCUAAUUUGCCCAAUGGUGCAUGAUGAAUGUGGGUAUAACCUAUAGUACCAGACUCCACCUCAUAAGGUAAAGGGUCUGAUUACAAGUUGCAUCUUGGACGCUGUUGAGCAUUCUUCAAAUCUACCAAAGCACCGUUUAUCGGUGAGUACUAUAGUCAUGGAUAUAUGCAUUUCUAAUUGCUCAGAGGCCUUUAUGUAUGUUUAUAAACGCCUUAUAUGUAAUAGCAUUGUAUUGCACCUCUGUAUAUUUGUAUUUGUAAUGACAACACUAUAUUGUCUUUUAACACCCAGAAGCUCCCGAAGAAGCGACGACGUCGCGAAACAUGUCGAGCUGAACCCCAUUUUAACCAGAACUCAUCCUGUACCAUCUUUUCGAAGCUACAACGCCACCCAGCGCCUAUAGUGUAUUCUAUACAUCCAGCCCUGUGGCUAUUAGCGGUGUCUUUAGAAAGUGAUAGGAUUUGAGCUCUUUUGUGUACUUUAUUGUUCAUUUUUUUCUUUUUUUUUUUAUUAUUUCGAGCAAUUGUCCUGUAUAUCUAUGUUUUGUAUUGUCUAAAUUAAAAUAUUUAUAUUCUUAAA
Long non-coding RNA from Rana temporaria (common frog), 830 nucleotides. RefSeq lists it as uncharacterized. The record is from RefSeq and is a predicted model, not a curated record. NCBI's taxonomy places the organism in Eukaryota, Metazoa, Chordata, Amphibia, Anura, Ranidae. The transcript has 2 exons.